GAUGAAGAACGUAGCGAAAUGCGAUAAGUAAUGUGCAUUGCAGAAUUCAGUGAAUCAUCGAAUCUUUGAACGCACAUUGCGCCCCUUGGUAUUCCGAGGGGCAUGCCUGUUCGAGCGUCAUUAUAACCCCUCAAGCUCAGCUUGGUGUUGGGGCCUGCUGCACUGGCAGCCCUUAAAAUCAGUGGCGGCGCCAUCUGGCUCUAAGCGUAGUAAUUCUUCUCGCUAUGGAGUCCUGGUGGAUGCUUGCCAUCAACCCCCAAUUUUUCUAUGGUUGACCUCGGAUCAGGUAGGGAUACCCGCUGAACUUAAGCAUAUCAAUAAGCGGAGGA
This 329-nucleotide unclassified non-coding RNA is filed under the name soil metagenome. RNAcentral's name for it is "partial contains 5.8S ribosomal RNA, internal transcribed spacer 2, and large subunit ribosomal RNA". The stretch from base 1 to 120 matches the Rfam family "5.8S ribosomal RNA", at positions 35 to 154 of the family's 154-position model. The record is from RNAcentral.